Molecule: long non-coding RNA, 793 nt
Organism: Calidris pugnax (ruff)
Lineage: Eukaryota; Metazoa; Chordata; Aves; Charadriiformes; Scolopacidae
Exons: 4
Source: RefSeq, a predicted model, not a curated record
UGUACUUCAUUACUGGAGACAGCAGCAUCACUGAGCCUCAUCUACCACAGAUUUAGCAUUUGUCUUUUGAUUGCUUUGUGUCAGGCAUGCAGUGUCACCUUCUUGGCAAAGAAAAUACAAGAAGUCCGGGCCCAGUAGAUGUGCUACAUGCUAAGGAGCAGAGCCAGCAGCCAGUUCAAAUGGAAAAGAAGACAUAGUGGCUUCAGGCAAACCCUGCAGGGAGUCCCCACCACCUUCUGCAGCGGGUAACAGGAGUGGCAGACGUUUUGUACUUAUCCUUGACUUUACCAGGCAGUUUGGACAUCUCAGGAUCUGAAAGGUUUGUCUGUUUUGGAGGACCAGGUUAGAUCUGGAUUUUUCAGCUGGGCAUGGCAAUCUGGGUUAAAGGAGGCAUCAGGGUUAUGAGGGUCGCUGAUGCUCGAAGAUCUCUUCAAACAAGAGCAAAGUCACUGGGCUGUAGGUCUGUGCCAGGCUCCGGAUCUGACCCGAUCUGACGGCUAGCGGGGCAAGCAAGGGACGUGCCCACCCACUGCAAAGGGCUGGCCUUGGCUGAUAGGACGUGUUACUGGGACACGCUUCUUCCAAUUCAACGCUCUGCCUCGUGAAACAAGGCUUUGCUGUUGUAGCCUGUGCCUCAACGUGUAGCAUAGUUAAAGCUUCUCCCCCUGACUGUGCCCUGUAAGUAUUUCUGUACUACUGAUAAGGAAAAAAUUAGCUCUUAAAAUACCUACUUGUACGCUAUUCUGUGCUUCCACCCAUUUGGCCUUUCUCUAGUAUUUAUACGUUAAGUACG